RNAcentral lists this long non-coding RNA (232 nucleotides) under Elaeis guineensis (African oil palm). RNAcentral's name for it is "long non-coding RNA (EGUI_LNC026220)". The record is from RNAcentral. Lineage: Eukaryota; Viridiplantae; Streptophyta; Magnoliopsida; Arecales; Arecaceae.
CCCCGCAAGAGAUCUACGCUGUGGUAAUUUUCACGACUUCAAAAGAACGGAUGGAUACUCGAUCUUGCCCAUCUUUUGAUUAAUUAAUAUAGCGGCCAUAAACAAUAAGAAGCAGCAGGGUGGCAGUCAUCCUUAAAAUAUUAGAAAAAUCAUACUAUAUCACCGACUAGGAUAAUAUCAUGUCCCUUUCCAUACUUCAAGAACGAGCAGUUGGGAUUUUACAUGUGACCAC